Molecule: long non-coding RNA, 5308 nt
Organism: Anopheles darlingi
Lineage: Eukaryota; Metazoa; Arthropoda; Insecta; Diptera; Culicidae
Exons: 3
Source: RefSeq, a predicted model, not a curated record
UGCUGCUGCUGCUGCUGCUGCUGCUGCCGCUGCUGCUACGACCGACGCCGGUGAAGAUCUUAAUCCCAUCGAACGGGGUUCACGCGGGUACCGAUGUUUGUUUGCGAUACAGACCCGACAAGGAGACGGAUUCCAGCGCCACGACAAACACAUACGCUGUGGGCCACACCACCAGCAGCAGCUGUUUCAAGAUUACAGCCCACUUAGUCACUCUCGGUGCUGUGUUGGGUGUUGUGUUUAUUGCUGUCGACCACUGCGACUGCGAUUUGGCGUAACAAUUUGGCCUUCGGUGUGGACGAGCGCCGAGGACGGCUUAUCGAUCGAUCGGACGAGCGUCUACGUUGAGUGUGACGUGGCCGGGCAAAGAACACCGCGUUACCGCGCCGAUAGGUCGAUCACACUGGGAUAUAGAGCGACAGAUUGAUUGUAGGUGCUUCCGUUUUCCCUUUCCGUUGGAUCGUUUAUUUUUAUCCUCCAGCUCUAAACGGCAAUCGAUAAGGAGCGCGAGCCAGUCACGGUAUCUACGCCAUUACAGCGUAGAGCGGGGCAAGAUUGUGCACUUAGUUGUAUUGGAGUCAGUCAAAUGUGAAUUGAUAGCGUCUUCAACAAGACGCCAGAUGAACGAUUGGUCUUUUACUAAACGAAUCAAGGUAUCAGAAUUUGUAAAUGAAUUUUGAGAAAAGACCGUUUCCUCGAUUAGUUCCAGUUUGCUAUCUCAUUGCACUGGUGAGUUGCAUUCAAAAUUGAGUUGAAUAUUCAUGCAGGAUUUCGACAAAUAUCCGUUACAGUAGAAUUGAAUUGAAUUUCUUCAUUCUCGAUUAUCAUAGAAUUUAGUUUUUCUAGAUAGAAAGAUUCAUAAAAUUUACAUAUGCAUCCUGUUCUGCAAACUUUUGCGCCACAAUGAAAGCACAGUCUCUACUCCAAGUUGGUUUGUGUUCAAUAUUUUAUUCGAAGUUCCGUUGAAUUUAACAGAGCACUGUCUGUAGCUGUAAAGAUGCUUUCGAGAUUUGAAUUUAGGCCGAACUUACCUGCUGUGUAAGAUUUCAUCAUAACACACUCUAUCGAACAUGUGGCAGCGCUAGCAGCAUCACGACAGAUUCGAAUUUGAUAUACAGCAGCGUACAGUGUAGAUAUUUCCUGUUCUAGAUAACAGCAAGAUAAGGCCGUUGGGUUUCCUAGUUGCGAGAUCCGGGUCUCGGUUGAUGAUAACACCGGUCGAGACGGUGCCCACAGACCGGUUUAGUAUUGUUGCAACGCGAUUAAUGUGACUUUUACACGAGGGAUUCCGGCUGUUUGAGGUGCAUUUAACACGGGCAUCGCUGACACCGUAUAUUUGCAGUAGAAUUAGACUCGUCUAGUACUCGUUGGGUUAAAUGCAUACUGCUUUUGUUUGGAGUCAAAUAAUCACAAUUCAGCAUUCAGCGUUGCUAGUGGCAGUUGAUCGAAAACAUUAACUUAUUUUGCUGCAUAAGUUAAUGUAUGCUAUAUUCAAUUGAAGUAGUGAACUCACACAUUCUCCAACCAUUUUAUUUUCUAUCACGUACUCAUCAGUUUAGCAAAGAACAGUAGGUUUCAUGAUAUCUGCGAGAUCGACGGAAAAUAAAGCUUUUGUCUUGUAUCGUGUUUUUAAUGCUGAUCACCGGACUUUUCAACAAAAUAUUAACGGAGUUGUUCGAUUUUAUUCUAACUUUUAUUCGUAUUUUUCACAUUUUUCCCAAAUGGUGAACAUAUAAACAAUAUGGUUUAAAAUGUUAAGAUUGUAAAUUAAAAAAAGACUUAACGGAGAUGAAUCUUAUGAAUCUAAUAAUCUAAUGAAAUAAUAUCCAUUUUUGCAACGAGUGGUGCAUUAAAUUAGUAGAAACCAUAAUGGAGGGCACUUAGAACCUAAAAUUUGAUGGAAACGAAAGCCUGUUUGAUGAUACAGUAACACGAGAACUUUAUCAGAGUCACGAUUCUUUUUUUUCGUAACGAGCAUUUUCAUUUGUCAGAAAUGAUCAUGUCUCGCUCAAAAUUUGAUGAAAAACAUGUUAUGCAAUCAUGCUAGUUGAAAGCAAGAGACACUGAAAGAGUUAUCUUAACCCUUUUGUCAAAAACCAUCUCUCGCCAUCUUUGUGCGAAAAGCAUUCAAAUUAAAAAAACGCGGAAACUAAAUUAUGCUAUGCAUACAAUACUCCAGCCAGCCAAAGACUGCCAGCCCAAUAUCGAAAGAAAGAGCAUCUCUGGCACGUAGCAUGUUAAUAAAUAACGUUAAAUCAUUCUAUCAGGAACGGAAGCUAAGCACCCGUGGGGAUUUACUCUUCCCCUGAUGACCUUAAAACCAGAAGUAGCGAGUCGCGAAGCGAGACGUCUUAUCUACCGUCUCGCAUCGGUGAUACUGGCAGCUACGCGCAAUUUUGCCGCGUGGGGAAAAGUAGGGCAGCUAAAACGUAUCACAAGAGUCACUUCACCUCCUAGAGGUCCAUAUAGACAAUCUGUGUGGCGCACAGCCCUGCCAGCGCACUGCAAAUGCUAGCACUGAAGACGACCACUGAGGUCGUACCGAAGGCGGUAAUAAGCGAUCCCAUCCCGAGGGCGACGAUGAUCUGGGCGACGAAGAUCAUACCACCGACGACCGCUAUGUCCGUGGCCAGUCCUCGUUUUCGUUCGUGCGUCUCGACACCAGUGCCAUAUCGGUGCAUACUUACAGUUCCUUUGGCAUGGUACUGGCCGAGCAAGAGGAAGGGCAUGGUGAAGAGGAGCGCGUACACCAUACCACCGGUAGCACUGAGCACGAACACGGUUACCUUGUUAGGGAAGAGUGCCAUACAGCACAUACCGAUGGCAUCGAUGAACAGACCGCCACAGUACACCGUCCGUGCCUUCAACACCUUGAUCAGCUUCUCGAUCGUGAACGAGUAAGUCGAGCAGGCGAUCGAAUAGAUCGCCAUCCCGAAGCACCCAUACCGGACACCCUCGAGGAACAGCUGAUAGUCGGCGGAAGCGUUCGGGGCAGCCGGAUUGCCACCAAACACCUCCUCGCCGACAAAAUCGGUAAAGUAGAGCGCGUAGCUGAGAUGACUCAUCCAGCAGAACAGGUUCGUCAGACACAGAAUGGCGAUCGACUUGGGCAUCAUGACGAUACUUUUGAUGAAAUCUUUCGGGCUCAUGUUCAUCGAUUCUUCCUCUUCCUCCUCUUCUAGCGCACCGUCCACCGGUGGCGGUUGCUCGGCAUCUACCAGCGCGUUGUUGAUCUUCUGCGGUACCGCAUGGUCGGGCGAUUGGAUCGCUUGCAGCUGCGCCGUCAGCGUUUUGCUCACGUCCUUAAUGGUGAAGAUCUGUUGGUCGCGGCGUGCCUUCUCCUUCUUGAUCGUAGCCUCCGUCAUCGGACGCAGCAGCUCAUCGGCCUCAAGCAGUUCCAAUGGAAUCUCUCGGAAGCUCGUCAUCGAAACAAUCAGACAGAUGGCGAAGAUAAUCACGACCAGCGUGAACACCGUCUUGAUGCUACCACCGAGAAACUCCCCGAACGAGGUUUCAUCCCAGUUGAUGCCACCCAUUGCAUAUCCAAUCGAGCCACCCAAUCCGGCCAAAAUCGAGAAGGUACUGCACGCCCUUCCGUGAUCCUCUGUAAAAGGGUGUAAGGAAUUCAUUAAUGAAUGUUCUCCGUCGCGAAGUUGCAAACCUAAUCGCUACUUACCAGGUACACAAACAUCCAGCAGAUAGGCUCUCGAUGGUGUCAUACAGUUAUCCGCAUUAAAGUCCAUCAAGAUCGUACCGAUGAUGGUGAUCACGAUCGCCCACCGAUAAUCGACCCGAUGCUCCGCAAUUUCUUCGUCGAUACGAUAGAAAUUGUACGCACGGAGGGCAUCCGUCGCUGCUGUACCAUUCAAAUCCACCAACAGAGCCGUUGACGGUUCGAGAAGCGUCAGUGGAUCGACGGGUCCCAGCUCACCGAGAUCACCGAACCAGGAGCCUAUGUUUUUCCCGAACGGCACCAGUAGACAACCGAUGAUUAGACCAAUACCGAGUGCCAGCAAGACCGGUCGGCGACGGCCAAAGCGCGACCGGCAGCGAUCACUAACCGAACCGAUAACGGGCGACAUGAAGAAUCCUAUCAGCGGUGAGAUGCCCCAAACCAUCGUCAUCAGAUGGUGUUCGAUGCCGAUGCCCAGUAGAAUUGGUGAGACGAAGGCGGUUUCGGCCGAGUACACAAACUCCAUGCCCAUAAUGACGGCUGAGAUUCGAAUAAAGUCAAAGCGUGUUUUUCUCCUGCAAGGUGGAAAGGUAAAGCACCCCGGUUACAGCGAGAGGGGAACUGGAACCCGACAAAAAUAGCAACAUACCGAAACACGUGAGAAUAGUCUUGUUUUUGGCGUCGUGCGUUCUCCUCCCGGACGCGGCGCAUCUCCUGUACCACCGGAUCAUUGAUAAAGUCCGAAUGGAAAUUCGUACCACCACCGGCAACCAUUGUGAGGCUGUUCUGUCCCUUGGUCUGAAACUGUUUUCCCGGCGUAAGGCCUCUACUGCUGCUGCUGGUGCACGCUUGUGGUGCUGACCUUUGGCUGGACGAUGCAGGAAUUUGUUCUGUAAAGAAUAGAGUAAUGGUGAGCAUUUAUUAGUGGAUCCGCUUGCUGUUCGUUCGUUUCAGGUUUCGGCUACCAUAACCAGACAUGGUAGAGCAUUGAAUCCGUUGCUUGCCGCUGGAAACACGUAACGAUCGUAUUCUCGUGAAGAAUGACUGCAAUAUACUAAACUCUAAAGCGACAACAACCCGAUGUCAAUGUCCCAUCGCUUCUCGGGACAGAGUUCUAAUCGCGACCAACCAACUGUGUCACUGAUCAUCCCGUUGACCGAAUGUGUAACAGACCAACUAAUGGCUCUGCGUGCCCGUGGUAUAGCUGAUCUAUGUAAUUGAUCUCGCUCGUGUUCAGCCGUCUUCCACACAUCCGGAAUGGCCCACUGUCUCGUUACUGGUUGUCUGAAGAAUUAACUGGCAAAAAAGGACCACGCUGAUACUGUUAUCAGUUGCUCGUUGUUUCGAGAGUGUAGGAGAACGCUUGGCUAGACAUUAUAACGUUACUGCUGGACCUGGUCGAUGUAAACGUCCAUUAGCUUCCGAAACCAACGGACACUAUGUUGAUGACUUCAUAGCGUACUCUGACAGGCACCGUUAACUGCACGUUUUUACUCUUCCUCGUUGGAGUUCCUGUGUACGAGCACACAGUCUGUUCGUGAACCUAGCAGCUUAUAGUUGUUGGAAUUACUCACUUGACAUGAUGCACGUUCUUUCUUGUUUGAUUUGGACAUCAGAAAUAAAACGAAUCAAGACGAU